This 450-nucleotide ribosomal RNA is filed under the name uncultured bacterium. Its description in RNAcentral is "bacterial SSU rRNA". It matches the Rfam family "Bacterial small subunit ribosomal RNA", at positions 29 to 524 of the family's 1533-position model. The record is from RNAcentral.
AACGAACGCUGGCGGCAUGCCUAACACAUGCAAGUCGAACGAGACCUUCGGGUCUAGUGGCGCACGGGUGCGUAACGCGUGGGAAUCUGCCCUCUGGUACGGAAUAACCCAGGGAAACUUGAGCUAAUACCGUAUAAUGACUUCGGUCCAAAGAUUUAUCGCCUGAGGAUGAGCCCGCGUAGGAUUAGCUAGUUGGUGAGGUAAAAGCUCACCAAGGCGACGAUCCUUAGCNGGUCUGAGAGGAUGAUCAGCCACACUGGGACUGAGACACGGCCCAGACUCCUACGGGAGGCAGCAGUGGGGAAUAUUGGACAAUGGGCGAAAGCCUGAUCCAGCAAUGCCGCGUGAGUGAUGAAGGCCUUAGGGUUGUAAAGCUCUUUUACCCGGGAUGAUAAUGACAGUACCGGGAGAAUAAGCCCCGGCUAACUCCGUGCCAGCAGCCGCCGUAAU